RNAcentral lists this long non-coding RNA (541 nucleotides) under Homo sapiens (human). Its description in RNAcentral is "non-protein coding lnc-RHOB-3:1". Lineage: Eukaryota; Metazoa; Chordata; Mammalia; Primates; Hominidae. The record is from RNAcentral.
GUCGAUGGGUUUGUGGGCGCAGGGCGCGAGGCGCGAGGCGGUAGCUGGGCUAGUCCUGUUCCCUGGCGUCUGGGCCUUUCUGCUCUCCGCAAGGAGCUGGGUCGCGACCUGUCACUGCCAGCCGUGCGCUCGCCCUCUGCGCCCCGUCUCGUGGUCACUGCCGCCCUCCCUCCCGCCACACCUGUGAUGAUCGCUAUGGAGCCGCGCCUCAGGUGGCAUUACUAUAAACCUAAGAGGAGAGGCGCCCGUUCGAAUAAGGGCAAAUUAUUUAGUAUUUUGUCUUCAAUGUUCCUGGCAGCUUAAAGUACCAACUGGGACACUUGUCACUAGUUUGAGAAGUGCAGCCAUAGUGACCUCUUUUGAAAGAUGAAUCAAUGAAUUAAGUCAUUUCUGAGAAACCAAGGAGGCCUGUUGAAGGAGGCUGGCCCUCCUGUGGCAGGUAACCCAACCUCCACUGCCCUUGGCAACAGGACAAGGCUAAUAUUUUCCCAAGAAGGGCCUUUUCAUGGAAUGAUCUUUCCAACCCGUUGACUACAACAAG